CCCACGGGAGGCAGCAGUAGGGAAUCUUCCACAAUGGGCGAAAGCCUGAUGGAGCAACGCCGCGUGGGUGAAGAAGGUCUUCGGAUCGUAAAACUCUGUUGUUAGAGAAGAAAGUGCGUGAGAGUAACUGUUCACGUUUCGACGGUAUCUAACCAGAAAGCGACGGCUAACUACGUGCCAGCAGCCGCGCUAAUACGUAGGUGGAAAGCGUUAUCCGGAUUUAUUGGGCGUAUAGGGAACGCAGGCGGGCGUUUAAGACUGAUGUGAAAGCUUUCGGCUUAACCGGAGUAGUGCAUGGGAAACUGGGAGACUUGAGUGCAGAAGAGGAAAGUGGAACUCCGAGUGUAGCGGUGAAAUGCGUAGAUAUAAGGAGGAACACCAGUGGCGAAGGCGGCUCUCUGGUCUGUAACUGACGCUGAGGUUCGAAAGCGUGGGGAGCAAACAGGAUUAGAUACCCUAGUAGUC
Molecule: ribosomal RNA, 465 nt
Filed under: uncultured bacterium
Lineage: Bacteria
Description: partial 16S ribosomal RNA
Rfam family: Bacterial small subunit ribosomal RNA
Source: RNAcentral